AACGAACGCUGGCGGCAUGCCUAACACAUGCAAGUCGAACGAGACCUUCGGGUCUAGUGGCGCACGGGUGCGUAACGCGUGGGAAUCUGCCCUCAGGUACGGAAUAACUCAGGGAAACUUGAGCUAAUACCGUAUAAUGACUUCGGUCCAAAGAUUUAUCGCCAGAGGAUGAGCCCGCGUAGGAUUAGCUAGUUGGUGAGGUAAAAGCUCACCAAGGCGACGAUCCUUAGCGGUCUGAGAGGAUGAUCAGCCACACUGGGACUGAGACACGGCCCAGACUCCUACGGGAGGCAGCAGUGGGGAAUAUUGGACAAUGGGCGAAAGCCUGAUCCAGCAAUGCCGCGUGAGUGAUGAAGGCCUUAGGGUU
RNAcentral lists this ribosomal RNA (367 nucleotides) under uncultured bacterium. Its description in RNAcentral is "bacterial SSU rRNA". It matches the Rfam family "Bacterial small subunit ribosomal RNA", at positions 29 to 424 of the family's 1533-position model. The record is from RNAcentral.